Molecule: RNA transcript, 2436 nt
Organism: Oryza sativa Japonica Group (Japanese rice)
Lineage: Eukaryota; Viridiplantae; Streptophyta; Magnoliopsida; Poales; Poaceae
Source: RefSeq, a predicted model, not a curated record
AAACGCCGACCUCAUCCACUUCGCCCACCAACGACACCGCCCUCCGCUCGCCGCCGGCGACCAACGCCGGUGAUCUCUCCCCCCGCCCGCCCGCCCGUCCACACCGGCCGGAGCAUCCGAUCGACCGGCCUCCCCCCCGCCCCAGACACCAUCGCCUUCCCACCGCUGCCGCUCGUCCCGUCUCACCGAUCCCUCCAUCCUUGGUCGAAUCAAUCGGAGAUAGAGGUCUUGGGGUGUUGAGCGCUCCUGGGUGUCUCACGAUGUGCUGCUGGGAAGAAUAUAACAUGUCUUUUGAAGAUAAAGCAAUGGCUAGCCGUGUCGCUUCACCCUCACCAAAAUCUAUGGCUUCAGAAUCAGACCCAAGCAUGAUGUUAGCUAUCACUUCGAAUAUGGAGCAUUCUCAAGCAAAUAACCAGUCAGUUUCAGUUCUUGGUCCAGUGGCUAUCUUUUGGGAUAUUGAGAACUGCCCUGUUCCAAGUGAUGUACGACCAGAAGAUGUUGCUGGAAAUGUCCGGAUGGCAUUACGGCUACAUCCUGUUGUUAAGGGUGCUGUGACAAUGCUCUCUGCAUACGGUGAUUUCAAUGCCUUCCCAAGAAGACUCAGAGAGGGAUGUCAAAGAACUGGAGUCAAACUUGUUGAUGUUCCAAAUGGAAGGAAAGAUGCUGCUGAUAAGGCUAUACUGGUUGAUAUGUUUCUAUUUGCAUUGGACAAUCGUCCACCAUCAUCCAUUAUGCUUAUAUCCGGUGACGUGGACUUUGCUCCUGCAUUGCAUAUACUUGGUCAGCGUGGAUACACUAUUGUCCUGGCCAUUCCAUCCUCAGUUACUGUAUCUUCAGCAUUGAGCAGUGCUGGGAGUUUCGUCUGGGACUGGCCUAGUCUUGCUCGUGGUGAAGGUAUUGUGGCCCCUAGAUCCAUAGGGCGCCGCUUUGCCGAUCCUCCAGGAUAUCAACAUGGUGGGAAUUUUGGGUCGUUCCCUGACACGCAGAAUGAAGAGGAGGCCAUUGUCUACAUGGGAACUUCAAGAAAUGAAUGCAGUGGUAGAACUACCAGCAACCAGAUAUAUUGCUAUAACUCUUCUCAAACCACUAGAGAACCAUCCAAAGCUUUCUAUACAGUUACAGAUGGGAACUGUGGCACAUCAUCAAGGUCACAUAAUUUAGCAUGUAGUUUGAAUGAAGGUCCAGAUGUAGACCAAGGUUUGCCAGAUGAGCGGUCAUGGUGGGUUCGUCCUGGUGAUCUUCAAGGUUUGAAGGGCCAAUUGUUGCGGUUGUUUGAGUUAUCAGGUGGAUCUGUUCCACUUGUCCGUGUUCCUUCAGAAUAUCUAAAACUCUUUGGAAGACACCUCUAUGUAUCAGAAUAUGGAGCUGUUAAACUUAUUCAUCUCUUUGAAAAGCUUGCUGACUCUUUUGUGGUCAUAGGGAAGGGUCAUAGAAAGGUGAUUUGCCUUCGAAAUUCUGGUGAUAGUAACCUGAAGAAAUAUUCAACCACACCAAUUAUUUUGAAAAAGGAAAAUAGAGGUGGUUCUAUUCUUGAUGAAAGCACUAUAGGAACAGGUCAGCAGUUGGGCAGCUCAUCAGAUGAUUUCUCAGAGGAUGAACGGAACAUUAACCCAGAUGUAGAUGGAGCAUAUGCCUUCGAUAGCCAUCUAGACAAUUUCAGACAGGAGAUUCAGGAGCUUCUUGUCUGUUACUCUUGCCCUGUUCCACUGGGUAAUUUCAAGUCUCUCUAUGAACAACGGUACAAGAAGACUCUUAUCUAUGAGAGCUUUGGUGUCGAUGGUCUGGAGGAGCUAGUUGAGAAGGUAAAAGAUGUUGUGGAACUGUGUGAGGAUCAGACCAGCAAAAGGAAGUACCUUAUAGCCAAUUAUCGCAGUUAAGCCUUCUGUUGUCCAAAUGUCAGUCACUUCAGUUAUUUAGAUGGACAAGUAUGCUCCAGAAACACUCCUUCCAUGCCACUGUACGCCCCAUCCGAAUUCAGUGUUCUGAAGGUGUUGAGAAGGUAAAAGAUGUUGUGGAAUGACGAAAGGGAUCAAGCCAGCAAAAGUUAUAUGAAUUGGGUGUUCUUCAGUCUCCACAGGAGUUGGUACAGGUGUUCUCCACAGGAGUCUCCACCCUUGAUCUUCUAUAAACUAAUUUAUGCAGACAUAUUUGUGUGCAUACUUUCCCAGACAUUUUCUAAUGUGCGUGCUUUCUUGUCAUAAAGUAAAAGAAACAUCAUUAUUCUUUACAAUAUGAAUUGGAUAUGUGAUAUAAUAGAAAUCUAAUGCACUAGGCAAUCUCACUUUUGCAGCUAGUAUUAUAUCUCUGUAUUUCUGGAGCAUACUUGUCCAUAUUCCAUAAACAGUUGGAUUGUCUUGACCUGUGCGUGUUGUCAAAUUUUCAUUGAUUGUACAAAUCUUUAAAUUACGACACUGAUGUUGUACUGUAUAUCUUCAA